CCUACGGGAGGCAGCAGUGGGGAAUAUUGCACAAUGGGGGAAACCCUGAUGCAGCGACGCCGCGUGAGUGAAGAAGUAAUUCGUUAUGUAAAGCUCUAUCAGCAGGAAAGAAAAUGACGGUACCUGAGUAAGAAGCCCCGGCUAACUACGUGCCAGCAGCCGCGGUAAUACGUAGGGGGCAAGCGUUAUCCGGAUUUACUGGGUGUAAAGGGAGCGUAGACGGCGAUGCAAGUCUGAAGUGAAAGGCGGGGGCCCAACCUCCGGACUGCUUUGGAAACUGUAUGGCUGGAGUGCAGGAGAGGUAAGUGGAAUGCCUGGUGUAGCGGUGAAAUGCGUAGAUAUUAGGAGGAACACCAGUGGCGAAGGCGGCUUACUGGACUGUAACUGACGUUGAGGCUCGAAAGCGUGGGGAGCAAACAGGAUUAGAUACCCGUGUAGUC
RNAcentral lists this ribosomal RNA (440 nucleotides) under uncultured bacterium. RNAcentral's name for it is "partial 16S ribosomal RNA". It matches the Rfam family "Bacterial small subunit ribosomal RNA", at positions 338 to 795 of the family's 1533-position model. The record is from RNAcentral.